AUCGAUGAAGAACGCAGCGAAAUGCGAUAAGUAAUGUGAAUUGCAGAAUUCAGUGAAUCAUCGAAUCUUUGAACGCACCUUGCGCUCUCUGGUAUUCCGGAGAGCACGCCUGUUCGAGUGUCAUGAAACUCUCAAGCAGAAUUAGACUUUAUUGUUUAAUUCUUGUUUGGAUUUGGACUCUUGCCGCGUUACUGCGGCUGGUCUUAAAAGUAUUAGCUGGUCUGUAAGAACCUUGGGUUUGACUUGGCGUGAUAAAUAUUCGCUGAGGACACUUUGGUGGCCUAAUUUCUUACUGGAUUGCUUCUAAUCGUCUUUACCGACAACUUAUAUUUCAAAUCUGACCUCGAAUCAGGUGGGACUACCCGCUGAACUUAAGCAUAUCAAUAAGCGGAGGAAAAGAAACUAACAAGGAUUCCCCUAGUAACGGCGAGUGAAGCGGGAUGAGCUCAAAUUUAAAAUCUGGUGGUCUUUGGCCAUCCGAGUUGUAAUCUAGAGAAGUGUUUUCCGUGCUGGACCGUGUACAAGUUUCCUGGAACGGAACGUCAUAGAGGGUGAGAAUCCCGUCCUUGACACGGACUACCAGUGCUCUGUGAUGCACUCUCAACGAGUCGAGUUGUUUGGGAUUGCAGCUCAAAAUGGGAGGUAAAUUCCAUCUAAAGCUAAAUACCGGCCAGAGACCGAUAGCGCACAAGUAGAGUGAUCGAAAGAUGAAAAGCACUUUGAAAAGAGAGUUAAAAAGUACGUGAAAUUGUUGAAAGGGAAGCGCUUGCGGCCAGACUUGCCCGCGGAGGUUCAGCCCGUCUUCUGGCGGGUGCAUUCCUCCGUGGUCAGGCCAGCAUCGGUUUGGGCGGUCGGACAAAGGCCUUGGGAACGUGGCCCCCUUCGGGGGGUGUUAUAGCCCUUGGUGCAAUGCGGCCAGCCCGGACCGAGGAUCGCGCUCUGCUAGGAUGCUGGCGUAAUGGCCGUAAGCGGCCCGUCUUGAAACACGG
This 989-nucleotide ribosomal RNA is filed under the name uncultured Basidiomycota. RNAcentral describes it as "eukaryotic LSU rRNA". The stretch from base 339 to 989 matches the Rfam family "Eukaryotic large subunit ribosomal RNA", at positions 1 to 664 of the family's 3401-position model. Lineage: Eukaryota; Fungi; Basidiomycota. The record is from RNAcentral.